CAGGGAGACAACACAAUGAUUUUGAUGCCUGAGUGCUUUUAUUCUUAGGCCGAAAUCCUGUCACCUUAGGUCGAUCGGUACCUCAGCUUUGAAGUCAAGGAUCAACAGCAAUGUUGAUUGCUUGAUGGAGAUUUUCAGUUCCUAAACUUCGUCUAGGUCACACCCCAAAAGGGAUGAGACUCCUGGGCCAUUAGCUCAGGUGGUUAGAGCGCACCCCUGAUAAGGGUGAGGUCCCUGGUUCAAGUCCAGGAUGGCCCAUUCGGUGUUGGGGGUUUAGCUCAGUUGGUAGAGCGCCUGCUUUGCAAGCAGGAUGUCAGGAGUUCGAGUCUCCUAACCUCCACUGACCGAACUUGAUUCCCAUCUCCAACUUUUUGGAGUUGAGCUCGAUUGGAGUGUGAUUUAGAUGUGUCCGCUGGAUGACCCCAGCUUCCUGUCAUUCCAAGUUUUAGGUUGAUGCCUUGAAUUUGGUUGAUAAGAUGCUGGGCUCGGAUCAAAUGAUCAAGCAAUUGAUGAUUUGAUUUGAAGUUCUAGCAGAACCUUGACAACUGCAUAGGUGAGUCCGGAAAAAACAAAGCAUCUUACAGAUGCAUUGUUUUGAAUCCGAUCUUCUGAAAGGGAGAUUGGAUCUAGAACAAUGAAAAUUCUUUUGAGCAAGAGCCGAGACUCUUGAGCGUUCUUUGAUUGGUGUCGAGCCAAUCAGAGUUUGAUCUUGUUUUUAGCAAUAAAAACUUGAGAAUCUGCUUUCAACGGCGGUAAGCGUUCAGGAGGUUAAUU
This 774-nucleotide transfer RNA is filed under the name uncultured cyanobacterium. Its description in RNAcentral is "partial contains 16S ribosomal RNA, 16S-23S ribosomal RNA intergenic spacer, and 23S ribosomal RNA". The stretch from base 268 to 340 matches the Rfam family "tRNA". Lineage: Bacteria; Bacillati; Cyanobacteriota. The record is from RNAcentral.